CAUCUCCAACUGUGUCACUGUUAA
RNAcentral lists this non-coding RNA (24 nucleotides) under Arabidopsis thaliana (thale cress). The record is from RNAcentral. Lineage: Eukaryota; Viridiplantae; Streptophyta; Magnoliopsida; Brassicales; Brassicaceae.